UGGUCAAGUUAUUAAGGGUGCAGGGCGGAUGCCUUGGCACUAGGAGCCGAUGAAGGACGUGAUAAGCUGCGAUAAGCUUCGGGGAGUUGCACGUAAACUUUGAUCCGAAGAUUUCCGAAUGAGGAAACUCACUUAGAGUAAUGUCUAAGUAUCAUUAAGUGAAUACAUAGCUUAAUGAGGGGAACUCAGGGAACUGAAACAUCUAAGUACCUGAAGGAAGAGAAAGAAAUUCGAUUCCGUAAGUAGCGGCGAGCGAACGCGGAUUAGCCCAAACCAAUAAAGUUUUCUUUAUUGGGGUUGCGGACAUAUCAUAACGAAGAGGUAUCGUAAUUGAAGAGGUUUGGAAAGACCCACCACAGAAGGUAAUAGUCCUGUAUGUUAAACGAGAAGACUUUAGAUAUGAUCCAGAGUACCACGGGACACGUGAAACCCUGUGGGAAGCAGGAGGGACCACCCUCCAAGGCUAAAUACUACCUAGUGACCGAUAGCGUAUAGUACCGUGAGGGAAAGGUGAAAAGAACCCCGGGAGGGGAGUGAAAUAGAACCUGAAACCCUGCACUUACAAGCUGUGGAAGCACAUUUCUUGUGUGACCGCGUACUUUUUGUAGAACGGGCCAACGAGUUACGUUAAGUAGCAAGGUUAAGCACUUAAGGUGUGGAGCCGUAGCGAAAGCGAGUUUUAACUGAGCGUUCAGUUACUUGACGUAGACCCGAAACCGGGCGACCUACCCAUGAGCAGGAUGAAGCGAAAGUAAAAUUUCGUGGAGGUCCGAACCCACGAGCGUUGAAAAGCUCGGGGAUGACUUGUGGGUAGCGGUGAAAUUCCAAUCGAGCCCGGAGAUAGCUGGUUCUCCCCGAAAUAGCUUUAGGGCUAGCCUCAAGGUGAGAGAUACGGAGGUAGAGCACUGAAUGUCCUAGGGGGUAUUGCACCUACCGAAGACUAUCAAACUCCGAAUGCCGUCAUCUUAUACUUGGGAGUCAGACUGUGGGUGAUAAGAUUCAUAGUCGAAAGGGCAACAGCCCAGAUCGUCAGCUAAGGUCCCUAAAUGUAAGUUAAGUGGUAAAGGAUGUGGGAUUGCACAGACAACCAGGAUGUUGGCUUAGAAGCAGCCACUCAUUCAAAGAGUGCGUAAUAGCUCACUGGUCGAGUGAUCCUGCGCCGAAGAUUUCCGGGGCUAAAACUUACUACCGAAGCUACGGCAUCAGUAAUGAUGGGUAGGGGAGCUUCCCAUACGGGUUGAAGCAUGAACGUAAGGACAUGUGGACAGUAUGGGAGUGAGAAUGUUGGCAUGAGUAGCGAGAUGUGGGUGAGAAUCCCACAGGCCGUAAACCCAAGG
RNAcentral lists this ribosomal RNA (1337 nucleotides) under Clostridioides difficile. RNAcentral's name for it is "bacterial LSU rRNA". It matches the Rfam family "Bacterial large subunit ribosomal RNA", at positions 1 to 1350 of the family's 2925-position model. The record is from RNAcentral. Lineage: Bacteria; Bacillati; Bacillota; Clostridia; Peptostreptococcales; Peptostreptococcaceae.